CUGAAAAUAUGUUGCUAGUGACCCAUAGACCUAUCAAAAAAGGGUGGAGUAAAAACACCACUUUUGUACGAAGUAGCACCUUGUGUUCUUUUAUUUACACUGGUGUUCUGACAAGA
Molecule: small nucleolar RNA, 116 nt
Filed under: Nannospalax galili (Upper Galilee mountains blind mole rat)
Lineage: Eukaryota; Metazoa; Chordata; Mammalia; Rodentia; Spalacidae
Source: RNAcentral